RNAcentral lists this ribosomal RNA (2900 nucleotides) under Klebsiella pneumoniae. RNAcentral's name for it is "bacterial LSU rRNA". It matches the Rfam family "Bacterial large subunit ribosomal RNA". Lineage: Bacteria; Pseudomonadati; Pseudomonadota; Gammaproteobacteria; Enterobacterales; Enterobacteriaceae. The record is from RNAcentral.
UUAAGCGACUAAGCGUACACGGUGGAUGCCCUGGCAGUCAGAGGCGAUGAAGGACGUGCUAAUCUGCGAAAAGCGUCGGUAAGGUGAUAUGAACCGUUAUAACCGGCGAUGUCCGAAUGGGGAAACCCAGUGCAAUUCGUUGCACUAUCGUUAACUGAAUACAUAGGUUAACGAGGCGAACCGGGGGAACUGAAACAUCUAAGUACCCCGAGGAAAAGAAAUCAACCGAGAUUCCCCCAGUAGCGGCGAGCGAACGGGGAGCAGCCCAGAGUCUGAAUCAGCUUGUGUGUUAGUGGAACGGUCUGGAAAGUCCGACGGUACAGGGUGAUAGUCCCGUACACCAAAAUGCACAGGCUGUGAACUCGAAGAGUAGGGCGGGACACGUGGUAUCCUGUCUGAAUAUGGGGGGACCAUCCUCCAAGGCUAAAUACUCCUGACUGACCGAUAGUGAACCAGUACCGUGAGGGAAAGGCGAAAAGAACCCCGGCGAGGGGAGUGAAAAAGAACCUGAAACCGUGUACGUACAAGCAGUGGGAGCACCUUCGGGUGUGACUGCGUACCUUUUGUAUAAUGGGUCAGCGACUUAUAUUCUGUAGCAAGGUUAACCGUAUAGGGGAGCCGCAGGGAAACCGAGUCUUAACUGGGCGUUAAGUUGCAGGGUAUAGACCCGAAACCCGGUGAUCUAGCCAUGGGCAGGUUGAAGGUUGGGUAACACUAACUGGAGGACCGAACCGACUAAUGUUGAAAAAUUAGCGGAUGACUUGUGGCUGGGGGUGAAAGGCCAAUCAAACCGGGAGAUAGCUGGUUCUCCCCGAAAGCUAUUUAGGUAGCGCCUCGUGAACUCAUCUUCGGGGGUAGAGCACUGUUUCGGCUAGGGGGUCAUCCCGACUUACCAACCCGAUGCAAACUACGAAUACCGAAGAAUGUUAUCACGGGAGACACACGGCGGGUGCUAACGUCCGUCGUGAAGAGGGAAACAACCCAGACCGCCAGCUAAGGUCCCAAAGUCAUGGUUAAGUGGGAAACGAUGUGGGAAGGCACAGACAGCCAGGAUGUUGGCUUAGAAGCAGCCAUCAUUUAAAGAAAGCGUAAUAGCUCACUGGUCGAGUCGGCCUGCGCGGAAGAUGUAACGGGGCUAAACCAUGCACCGAAGCUGCGGCAGCGACACUAUGUGUUGUUGGGUAGGGGAGCGUUCUGUAAGCCUGCGAAGGUGACCUGUGAGGGUUGCUGGAGGUAUCAGAAGUGCGAAUGCUGACAUAAGUAACGAUAAAGCGGGUGAAAAGCCCGCUCGCCGGAAGACCAAGGGUUCCUGUCCAACGUUAAUCGGGGCAGGGUGAGUCGACCCCUAAGGCGAGGCCGAAAGGCGUAGUCGAUGGGAAACAGGUUAAUAUUCCUGUACUUGGUGUUACUGCGAAGGGGGGACGGAGAAGGCUAUGUUAGCCGGGCGACGGUUGUCCCGGUUUAAGCAUGUAGGCUGGUUAUCCAGGCAAAUCCGGAUAAUCAAGGCUGAGGUGUGAUGACGAGGCACUACGGUGCUGAAGUAACAAAUGCCCUGCUUCCAGGAAAAGCCUCUAAGCAUCAGGUAACAUCAAAUCGUACCCCAAACCGACACAGGUGGUCAGGUAGAGAAUACCAAGGCGCUUGAGAGAACUCGGGUGAAGGAACUAGGCAAAAUGGUGCCGUAACUUCGGGAGAAGGCACGCUGGUGUGUAGGUGAAGCCCCUGCGGGUGGAGCUGAGACCAGUCGAAGAUACCAGCUGGCUGCAACUGUUUAUUAAAAACACAGCACUGUGCAAACACGAAAGUGGACGUAUACGGUGUGACGCCUGCCCGGUGCCGGAAGGUUAAUUGAUGGGGUUAUCCGUAAGGAGAAGCUCUUGAUCGAAGCCCCGGUAAACGGCGGCCGUAACUAUAACGGUCCUAAGGUAGCGAAAUUCCUUGUCGGGUAAGUUCCGACCUGCACGAAUGGCGUAAUGAUGGCCAGGCUGUCUCCACCCGAGACUCAGUGAAAUUGAACUCGCUGUGAAGAUGCAGUGUACCCGCGGCAAGACGGAAAGACCCCGUGAACCUUUACUAUAGCUUGACACUGAACAUUGAGCCUUGAUGUGUAGGAUAGGUGGGAGGCUUUGAAGCGUGGACGCCAGUCUGCGUGGAGCCAACCUUGAAAUACCACCCUUUAAUGUUUGAUGUUCUAACGUUGGCCCCUGACCGGGGUUGCGGACAGUGUCUGGUGGGUAGUUUGACUGGGGCGGUCUCCUCCCAAAGCGUAACGGAGGAGCACGAAGGUUAGCUAAUCCUGGUCGGACAUCAGGAGGUUAGUGCAAUGGCAUAAGCUAGCUUGACUGCGAGCGUGACGGCGCGAGCAGGUGCGAAAGCAGGUCAUAGUGAUCCGGUGGUUCUGAAUGGAAGGGCCAUCGCUCAACGGAUAAAAGGUACUCCGGGGAUAACAGGCUGAUACCGCCCAAGAGUUCAUAUCGACGGCGGUGUUUGGCACCUCGAUGUCGGCUCAUCACAUCCUGGGGCUGAAGUAGGUCCCAAGGGUAUGGCUGUUCGCCAUUUAAAGUGGUACGCGAGCUGGGUUUAGAACGUCGUGAGACAGUUCGGUCCCUAUCUGCCGUGGGCGCUGGAGAAUUGAGGGGGGCUGCUCCUAGUACGAGAGGACCGGAGUGGACGCAUCACUGGUGUUCGGGUUGUCAUGCCAAUGGCACUGCCCGGUAGCUAAAUGCGGAAGAGAUAAGUGCUGAAAGCAUCUAAGCACGAAACUUGCCCCGAGAUGAGUUCUCCCUGAGACUUUAAGUCUCCUGAAGGAACGUUAAAGACGAUGACGUUGAUAGGCCGGGUGUGUAAGCGCAGCGAUGCGUUGAGCUAACCGGUACUAAUGAACCGUGAGGCUUAACCUU